Molecule: ribosomal RNA, 656 nt
Filed under: uncultured fungus
Lineage: Eukaryota; Fungi
Description: eukaryotic LSU rRNA
Rfam family: 5.8S ribosomal RNA (bases 238-391)
Source: RNAcentral
AGUAAAAGUCGUAACAAGGUUUCCGUAGGUGAACCUGCGGAAGGAUCAUUAACGAGUUUUGAAAGGGGUUGUCGCUGGCCUUUCACGAGGCAUGUGCACACUCUGCUCAUCCACUCUCAACCUCUGUGCACUUAUUGUAGGUCGGUGGAAGGCUCGCAAGAGCUGGAAGCCUGCUUAUGUUUUACUACAAUCGCUUCAGUUAUAGAAUGUUUACUUGCGUAUAACGCAUUUAUAUACAACUUUCAGCAACGGAUCUCUUGGCUCUCGCAUCGAUGAAGAACGCAGCGAAAUGCGAUAAGUAAUGUGAAUUGCAGAAUUCAGUGAAUCAUCGAAUCUUUGAACGCACCUUGCGCUCCCUGGUAUUCCGGGGAGCACGCCCGUUUGAGUGUCAUGGUAUUCUCAACCUUCCUCACUUUUGUGACUGGAAGGCUUGGAUGUGGAGGUCGUGCGGGCUCUCGCGAGUCGGCUCCUCUGAAAUGCAUUAGCGUGAACGUUUACGGAUCGCUAUCAGUGUGAUAACUAUCUGCGCUGUUAGUGUUGAAGUAUUGCUUAGUGUCGCGCUUCUAACCGUCCUUCAGUUGGACAACUUAUCUGACAUCUGGCCUCAAAUCGGGCGGGACUACCCGCUGAACUUAAGCAUAUCAAUAAGCGGAGGA